This 492-nucleotide ribosomal RNA is filed under the name uncultured bacterium. Its description in RNAcentral is "partial 16S ribosomal RNA". It matches the Rfam family "Bacterial small subunit ribosomal RNA", at positions 29 to 507 of the family's 1533-position model. The record is from RNAcentral.
AGUGAACGCUGGCGGUAGGCCUAACACAUGCAAGUCGAACGGCAGCACAGUAAGAGCUUGCUCUUACGGGUGGCGAGUGGCGGACGGGUGAGGAAUACAUCGGAAUCUACUUUUUCGUGGGGGAUAACGUAGGGAAACUUACGCUAAUACCGCAUACGACCUACGGGUGAUAGCAGGGGAUCUUCGGACCUUGCGCGAUUGAAUGAGCCGAUGUCGGAUUAGCUAGUUGGCGGGGUAAAGGCCCACCAAGGCGACGAUCCAUAGCUGGUCUGAGAGGAUGAUCAGCCACACUGGAACUGAGACACGGUCCAGACUCCUACGGGAGGCAGCAGUGGGGAAUAUUGGACAAUGGGCGCAAGCCUGAUCCAGCCAUACCGCGUGGGUGAAGAAGGCCUUCGGGUUGUAAAGCCCUUUUGUUGGGAAAGAAAAGCAGCAGGUUAAUACCCCGCUGUUCUGACGGUACCCAAAGAAUAAGCACCGGCUAACUUCGUG